Molecule: long non-coding RNA, 4152 nt
Organism: Hippopotamus amphibius kiboko
Lineage: Eukaryota; Metazoa; Chordata; Mammalia; Artiodactyla; Hippopotamidae
Exons: 3
Source: RefSeq, a predicted model, not a curated record
CAGGUGCGGCGGGCAGCUCCGGCAGCUCAGACGGCCCGAGCGUCUCUCCGGACUGAAGUGGGCACUUGCAGAGCCAAAAGUAGGGAGGGCGCAGAAUCUGUGAGGCGCGCGGGGGCCUCGGGAACUUUCGUCCGACUAGUGCGGCGGCGAGAGCCGAGCGACUGAGGAGGCUCCGCGGGGCCGCGGGCGGUCCGAGCGUUUACGGAGCUGCGCCCUCGGCCCCUCGCCUAGCUGGCGACGGCAGCGGCCCGCUGAGCGGACACCUCCAACUCGGCCGCGUCUGCGCCGCGCUUCGGCCUCGGCAACCGCUUCCCAGGCAUCUCUGAGGCCGCACUCAGUCCCCCAAGCACUUUGCUCCCCAUUUCGCGGCAGCAGCGUCCAGCGUUUUAGGGCUAGUCAGCUCCCGACAGAGCUACCCGCCGACUUCUCCACAUUUCCGCCGCCGGAGGGAGCGAGUCCUGUGGGCAAGCGCUCCGGGUCCGGGGCGAGCUUGGUGGCGGCGGACCAGCCUGACCGCUCCUCAGCGCGGGUCGCCCAAACUUGCCCAGUAGGGCGAGAGCCUCCGCUUUGCGGCCGCCUCCGCUCCUCCUCCCAGAAGAGAGCGGAGGAAGGGAGCAGGCAGCAGAGGAGAGUCACAUCAGGCUGAAUAGGGGCGGGUGCCUUUCGCCAGCGCUCAGCGAGGUCUUGUCCUCGCUGUGCGGCCGUGACUUCGCAGUGGAGGUCACGAGCCUUGUCGCAGCCGAGGGCGCUGGGAUUCCGGGGGCCCGGAGCGCCUGCAGCGUGGCGGCGUCCGACUGAGCGCUCGGAGCGGUCCGCGGGGCUGAGCUGUGCCUGGCCACAUCCACAGCGGCGCCGAGUGCCUGCAAGCGGACAGCUUUCCCCGCACAAGCCGCCCCCUCGCGGCACCCACUCCCUCCCAGCACUCGGGUCGGUGGGAAGCCGCGGCGCCGGCGGUCUGGUGUUCUCUCGCCCUCGGGGUUGGGGGAGGGGGGCCACACAGGUGCUAACAGGGAGGGGUCUCGGCGCAGGUGGCCCUCACACUCGCGGCCGAGGCGGGCGCAGAGGGCAGGGCCCGAGCCGCGAGCGCAGCCGAGCUCUGCCAAGCCCGGCUUUCUGGCCUCCGCCGCUCGGAUGCUGCCAGUUCGGCGCUAGAGGGGGUUAGUCAACAACAAAAAUGCCUGCGUUGCCAGCCGGUGGGAGAGGCUUAUCACGCGAGGCCCCGCAAGGAAGGAGGAAUGCUCUCCGGCUAAACUUAACGCGUGGGUGAAGGGCGCGCCAGGGAACCCGUAUCACCAGUGUGGGGCUUCUGUAAUACUUUACUCGCUGUUGUUAUUAUCGUCAUUUUCUUUCUUGAAGGAACUUAGGGUAUCACGGUCGUGUGAGGUCCAAAAGCCCCCCUCAAAACUCAUCCGGAUGUUUUGAAGAAGUAUUUAUGGCAAUGGGGAAAAGUGAACCGAGAAGAGAAAACAGCGGUAUUAUAAAGCGUAGAGGAUAUUUUCCUUCUAUAGGGCAGAGGCAGGGAAAUGGCACAGUGGCGGGAUUUGGGAAAGUAGUAAAUGAAGGAGCAAGGGUCGGCCUUCGACGCUUACAGAGUUCUGGGGGAGAAAGCAGCUUUCCACUCGACGCGUUUCAGCGCUGCUAUGUUUGUCACAUAUAUUUGAAGUGGUUUCGGUUAUUGCAUUAUAGUCAGUUGGACGCUGAUAGAAGGCGAGCAAAAGAUGCCCCACGUCUCAGUCGGCUGCAAGGAGAGAAAUGUGAAAUGCAAAUGAUCUUGAGACUGUGAGGAAGGAAGGUUUCCUAUUGGUGACUGUACUUCCACUUUCAUUAGGAAUUCAAACACUGCCUCUCUUUAAAGGUGUCCACGCUAAUUUAAAUGAUGCAAAUCACUUAUGGAAGGAUAACCAAGUAUGGAGUUUAUAUAUUAGUACUUAAAGGAGUAAAAUCUGAUUUUGCUACUGAUAUUACCACUCUGAUAUUGACUGGUCAAUAUCAUUUGCGAUAUGCAUUUGCAAACAGUUUACAAUUUAUAAACUGUAAAAUUAAAAGACUACGUUAUAAUAUAAAUCAUUAUGCUUGAAUAAAUGGCCUUGAAAGCGUUUGAUGAUUCAAUAUACUCGUUUUGAUUCAAAAUAAUCUUUUUAUUUACUGUCAAAGAAUAUAUUUUCAUGACCUUUUUAUAAUUAAAGUUGAAUUCCUUAUGGUUAAAUGUUUAAAUUCACUUACAGUGAAUAGUUUUAUAGAUGUCAUUAACAACUCACCAAGAGAAAAAUUUUGGCCAAAGAAGACACUCCUUAUAAAUGCCUAAAAUAUGCUAUAUUCUGAUAAACUGAAGGAAUGUAUAAUACUGUUUAUUAACUUAGAAAUGUAAACUAUGUUACUCUAUUUCUAAACUUCUAGUUUUUAAAUUAACUAAACUUACAAGAUUUUUUAAAUGGAAUACCACUAAAAAGAAGUUGUUUCCUCAAAAACCCCAGAGUAAAACUAUUUUAAUAUCAAAGUUUUAACUUAAAUCCUGAUAUUUUGCCUGAGUGUUAUUUCUUAGAGACUAUUUUAUAAAGAGAACACCAAGAAGAUUCUUUUAAAAUUAGGCUAGAAGGAAAUGGCUCUGAUGAAUGGAAGGAAGGAAGGAAGGAAAGAAGGAAAGAAGGAAGAGGGAAGAGAGAAUAAAAAGAAAGAAAGGCUAAGAUUUAUUUCUAGGAUUCACACUUUUUUCCAAAUCAUUGUACAAUAUUUCCAAUUAUGGUACAAUUUCCAAAUUAUGGUACAAUAUCAUGGUACGAAUAAACUGGUAUUUACUUCAGAGUAACAAUAAGAGCUGAUUAACCUGGAUUUCUGUCCUCACCCUUACCUAAAAAUUUACCUAGAAUUCACAAUUUUUGUUUGUUUGAAUAAAUCAUAGUCAAGCAUGACAUAAUAUAUUACUUACCUGGUCAGAUAACCGAAAGUCAUAAUCUGAUUUUGGUUUUCAAGAAAACAAUUAAUUACAUGAUUUUUGUAAAUAUUAAAACAUGCUUCAUGUAUUUAGACACUGUUUAUCUGCAUAUCUAGAAUAUAAUGGCCUUUUAAAAACAUCUCAAAGAAGAUGAAUUGAAAUUUUAAUGUAAUUUUCUUGACCUUUGACUAGAGUGAGAUUCCAUGGGUUUGACAUGAUUAUCAAUUUCAAAACAUGAUUUUAAAUAGAAUUACCAUAACCAUUUGACCAUUUGGUAUACAUUUUAUAUUUAUGUAUACACAUAUAUACAUAAUGUGUAUAUGUAUAUUCAUUCUAAAAUAUUUGUUGAGGUCUUAUAAGUGCUCAGUUCUCUUCACUGAGAAGAGUUAAUGGUAAUGUGAGUAAAAAUAAUUUGUUUUUUAAAAGUAACUUUUUGUUUCAAAUAUAGUCAUGGUUAUCUUAUGUGAGCUAGAAGCAACUGCAUGUAACAGAAAUGUACUUCCUUCUUGAUUUUCUAGCAGUGUUGAUAUAUUUGCUGAUGUGACAGUUUCAAAAUUAUAAGCCACUCAAUGAACCAGAUGCAAUAUUCAUGUAGAUUCAUCUGCACUUGUCUGUUUGAAUCAUACCUAUAUUCAGAAAAGCAUUCAUGUCUCAUUUUUCAGUACUAUAUUGUUCAGAAUUCUCCUGUAUUCUCUCAGACCAUUGUUCUUCAUGAUAUACGUGGUCUGGAUUCAGGUCAAGAUAGAAGCAACAUGAGUAAAAAGAAUAUUGAUCUCAGAAAUAUCACAGAAGUGUUGAGGAAACGUCAUCAGAUAAACCCAAAUUGAGGGAUCAUUCUACAAAAUAACUAGUCUAUAAUCUUCAAAAGUGCCAAGGUCAUGAAAGUGAAAGAAGACAGGAACUCUUCCAGACUGAAGGAGACUAAGGAGACGUGACAACUAAUUUCAAUAUGUGAUUCUGGAUUUGAUCCUUUUGUUGUAAAGAACAUUUUUGGAACAACUGAGAAAGUUUGAAUGGGGUCUAAGGGGUUAGAACUGUAACUGUACUGUAUGUUAAUUUCUGAAUUUUGGUAGUUGAGUUGUACAGAAUGUCCUUGUUUGCAGAAAACAUACACUAAAGCAUUUGGUGAUGACUUACUCUCAAAUGAUUCAGGAAAAAAAUGUCAUUUGUGUUGUACUUGAAACUUUUCUAUAAUUCUGAGUUGGUUCAAAAUAAAAUAU